Molecule: ribosomal RNA, 742 nt
Filed under: uncultured bacterium
Lineage: Bacteria
Description: bacterial SSU rRNA
Rfam family: Bacterial small subunit ribosomal RNA
Source: RNAcentral
UUAUAAGUCAGUGGUGAAAUCUCCCCGCUCAACGGGGAAACGGCCAUUGAUACUGUAGGACUUGAAUUAUUAGGAAGUAACUAGAAUAUGUAGUGUAGCGGUGAAAUGCUUAGAGAUUACAUGGAAUACCAAUUGCGAAGGCAGGUUACUACUAAUUGAUUGACGCUGAUGGACGAAAGCGUGGGUAGCGAACAGGAUUAGAUACCCUGGUAGUCCACGCCGUAAACGAUGGAUACUAGCUGUUGGGGGCAACUUCAGUGGCUAAGCGAAAGUGAUAAGUAUCCCACCUGGGGAGUACGUUCGCAAGAAUGAAACUCAAAGGAAUUGACGGGGGCCCGCACAAGCGGUGGAGCAUGUGGUUUAAUUCGAUGAUACGCGAGGAACCUUACCAAGGCUUAAAUGUAGUUUGACCGAUUUGGAAACAGAUCUUUCGCAAGACAAAUUACAAGGUGCUGCAUGGUUGUCGUCAGCUCGUGCCGUGAGGUGUCAGGUUAAGUCCUAUAACGAGCGCAACCCCUGUUGUUAGUUGCCAGCGAGUCAUGUCGGGAACUCUAACAAGACUGCCAGUGCAAACUGUGAGGAAGGUGGGGAUGACGUCAAAUCAUCACGGCCCUUACGCCUUGGGCUACACACGUGCUACAAUGGCCGGUACAGAGAGCAGCCACUUCGUGAGGAGGAGCGAAUCUAUAAAACCGGUCACAGUUCGGAUCGGAGUCUGCAACUCGACUCCGUGAAGCUGGAA